AUACGUAGGGUGCAAGCGUUAAUCGGAAUUACUGGGCGUAAAGCGUGCGCAGGCGGUUUUGUAAGACAGAGGUGAAAUCCCCGGGCUCAACCUGGGAACUGCCUUUGUGACUGCAAGGCUGGAGUACGGCAGAGGGGGAUGGAAUUCCGCGUGUAGCAGUGAAAUGCGUAGAUAUGCGGAGGAACACCGAUGGCGAAGGCAAUCCCCUGGGCCUGUACUGACGCUCAUGCACGAAAGCGUGGGGAGCAAACAGGAUUAGAUACCCUGGUAGUCCACGCCCUAAACGAUGUCAACUGGUUGUUGGGUCUUCAUUGACUCAGUAACGAAGCUAACGCGUGAAGUUGACCGCCUGGGGAGUACGGCCGCAAGGUUGAAACUCAAAUGAAUUGACGGGG
Molecule: ribosomal RNA, 395 nt
Filed under: uncultured bacterium
Lineage: Bacteria
Description: partial 16S ribosomal RNA
Rfam family: Bacterial small subunit ribosomal RNA
Source: RNAcentral